Molecule: transfer RNA, 85 nt
Filed under: Clostridium sp.
Lineage: Bacteria; Bacillati; Bacillota; Clostridia; Eubacteriales; Clostridiaceae
Also listed under: 3 other names
Description: tRNA-Leu
Rfam family: tRNA
About the family: Transfer RNA (tRNA) molecules are approximately 80 nucleotides in length.
Source: RNAcentral
GCCGAUGUGAUGGAAUUGGCAGACUUGCUUGACUCAAAAUCAAGUGUCUUCGGGCGUGUCGGUUCGAAUCCGACCAUCGGCACCA